Molecule: ribosomal RNA, 253 nt
Filed under: uncultured bacterium
Lineage: Bacteria
Description: partial 16S ribosomal RNA
Rfam family: Bacterial small subunit ribosomal RNA
Source: RNAcentral
UACGUAGGGGGCAAGCGUUGUCCGGAUUUAUUGGGCGUAAAGAGCGUGUAGGCGGCCAGGUAGGUCAGCUGUGAAAACUCGAGGCUCAACCUCGAGACGCCGGUUGAAACCAUCUGGCUAGAGUCCGGAAGAGGAGAGUGGAAUUCCUGGUGUAGCGGUGAAAUGCGCAGAUAUCGGGAAGAACACCGGUGGCGAAGGCGCUCUGCUAGGCCGCAACUGACACUGAGGGACGAAAGCUAGGGGAGCGAAUGGG